GCAGUAAGGAAUAGUUGGGUCAAUUGUGGGCGCAAGCCCUGAACCAGCCAUGCCGCCGUGCAAGGAUUGUAGCGGCCCUAUGGGUUGUAAGACUAUCUUUUGUACCGGAAACAACACCAAACCGGUCGCGUAUCGUCUUUGCCCUUUAUGGUACCAGUAAGAAAUAAGCAUCGAGCUAACUCCGUGCCAGCAGCCGCGUGUAAUUAAUCCGGAGGAUGCCAAGCGUUUAUCCGCGAUUCAUUGGGUUUGAAAGGGUGCGCCAGGCGGAGUGAUAAAGUCAGUGUGUGAAAGCCUACAGCUUUAACUGUAGAACUGCCCUUGACCUACUGUCAUUCUUGAGUAUUGUUGAGGUAGGCAGGAACUCGGUGUCAUGUAGCGGUCGAAAUGCUUAGAUAUCGACACAGGAACUUUCGAUCGCGAAGGCAGCCGGUUACCAAGGAUUCAAUAACUGAUCGCUCAUGCACGAAAGCGUGGGGUCAUCAAACAGGAUUAGUAUACCCUGUGUAGUCCCACCGCCGUAAACGAUGAUCACUCGGAUGUUGGCGAUACACAGUCAGCGUCUUAGGGAAACUAUUAAGUGAUCCACCUGGGGAGUACGGUCGCAAGAUUGAAACUCAAAGGAAUUGACGGGGGCCCGCACCAAUGCGGAGGAGCAUGUGGUUUAAUUCUAUGAUACGGGGAGGAACCUUACCUGGGACUCUCGAACGUGAAUGACUGUCUCGGAAACCUCAUGAUCUUCUUCGGACAUUCUACAAGUUGCUGCAUGGUUGUCGUCAGCUCAUGACCGUGGAGGUAGUCAGGUUAAUUCCCAUAACGAGCGCCAACCCCUAUCUUUAGUUGCCAUCAGGUCAAGCUGGCGGACUCUAAAGAAACUGCCUACGCAAGUAGUGAGGAACGCCGGGGAUGACGUCAAAUCAGCACGGCCCUUUUCGUCCAGGGCCUACACACCUGCUACAAUGACCGGUACAGAGGGCAGCUACUGGGUGACCAGAUCCAAUAUCUCCAAAGCCGGUCUCAGUUCGGAUC
Molecule: ribosomal RNA, 1026 nt
Filed under: uncultured bacterium
Lineage: Bacteria
Description: bacterial SSU rRNA
Rfam family: Bacterial small subunit ribosomal RNA
Source: RNAcentral